This 845-nucleotide long non-coding RNA is filed under the name Heterocephalus glaber (naked mole-rat). RNAcentral's name for it is "lncRNA (ENSHGLG00100043085.1)". Lineage: Eukaryota; Metazoa; Chordata; Mammalia; Rodentia; Bathyergidae. The record is from RNAcentral.
GUUUAGGGUGCUAAUUAUUUCAUCCAGAAAACCCUACAAUUAUUGUCAGCUUUCAGUGUAGUCAGAAUAUUCCUAUAGGUUAUGGGAUACAAUUCAGGAUUUAACUAAUGUUUCUGCUAUUUUCUCACUUUUCCUUUUGAUGGUGCGGAAAGAGAAAAGGAAAACGGGGCACAGGCCAUUCGCCGCCUUCUCCAGGGGUCUGAUUUGCUGAGACACCAGCUCCACCUUCCUAACAAGGUUAUUUCUGACAGCAUGUGUAGAUAAACAUUUAGCCACAGUUUAAAACAGAGUCAUGUAACUCAACUUGGUUUUGCGACAAAGGAAUUCCUAUUUUUAACAUGGUAGACGAGAAUUUCCAAAAGCAUAUGUAAUCUUUUCUAUUUGGGGGUAAUUAAUGUCUGAUUCCCUGAGGAAGAAUCCGAUUUAAGGGGCUUAAAUAAUAUUUUUAAAUUGUAAAUGGGAUUUUUUUAUUUACCCAGGCACCUAAUUACAACAAGCAUGCACAUUUUGGUGCAUUCAAGAAUGGAAAAUCAGAAUAGCAGCAUUCUCCUGGUGGGCUUUGCUCCAUUUAAAGACAUGACAUGAACUGCACGCCAGGAAGGUGAUAGAUGAUGUGCAGCUCAGUGGAAGAUGAUGACAACCAGAAGACAUGAGCUAAGGGUAAGGGACUGUUCUUCUGAAGAACCUUUCCAUUUAGUGAUCAAGAUGCAGAAGCUGAUCUCUGAAAAUACUCAGUGUGUAUCCUAAUUGUUCAUGUUACCGUUUCCAAUUAUAAACUGCAUUGUAGCAGCACAUGUUCCCACUUGACUCUGGGGAAACAAUAAAAUAUGCCUCUUGAUACCAUA